This 468-nucleotide ribosomal RNA is filed under the name uncultured bacterium. Its description in RNAcentral is "partial 16S ribosomal RNA". It matches the Rfam family "Bacterial small subunit ribosomal RNA", at positions 28 to 507 of the family's 1533-position model. The record is from RNAcentral.
GACGAACGCUGGCGGCGUGCUUAACACAUGCAAGUCGAACGGAAAGGCCCUGCUUUUGUGGGGUGCUCGAGUGGCGAACGGGUGAGUAACACGUGAGUAACCUGCCCUUGACUUUGGGAUAACUUCAGGAAACUGGGGCUAAUACCGGAUAGGAGCUCCUGCUGCAUGGUGGGGGUUGGAAAGUUUCGGCGGUUGGGGAUGGACUCGCGGCUUAUCAGCUUGUUGGUGGGGUAGUGGCUUACCAAGGCUUUGACGGGUAGCCGGCCUGAGAGGGUGACCGGCCACAUGGGGACUGAGAUACGGCCCAGAGUCCUACGGGAGGCAGCAGUGGGGAAUAGGGCACAAUGGGCGGAAGCCGGAUGCAGCAACGCCGCGUGCGGGAGGACGGCCUGCGGGUUGUAAACCGGUUUCGCCGGUGACGAAGCGUGAGUGACGGGAAUGGGUAAAGAAGCACCGGCUAACUACGUG